Molecule: long non-coding RNA, 1908 nt
Filed under: Homo sapiens (human)
Lineage: Eukaryota; Metazoa; Chordata; Mammalia; Primates; Hominidae
Description: HSALNT0172043
Source: RNAcentral
CAUGCACAGUCUCCUGCACAGUGGUGUCUGUUCUGGCCCUUUAAAUUUAGCAGAUCCACACUCCCACCACGCCCAGCUGGCCCACCAGAGUGAGCCACAGGCAACACAUGUUCUAAACCAACCCUGUUCACCCUGGACCUACUAUUUUUGCACUCACCUCCCUGGUUCUCAGAUUUCUGGCUCCGGUUCCCAGCUGCCAUAGCCCCUUUGGUCCCUUCACUUUGGUGACCCUUUAGGCUUCCCUUUUUAGACCACAGCUGUCACAUGUUUCUGACUCAACUUGCUUCUGCCAUGCCAGCGUCACCCCUGGUCUCAGGUGAUUUCUUAGGCUAAUUCUCAGAGAUGGGGUUAUUGGGCCAAAAAAGCAAACUAUGGCUUUCCGAAGCUCUCAUUGUUCCCAUUAUGUCAUGCAUCCCUGAGAUGCAGUCAGCAGAGGAUUCUAUUUGAGGGACUAAACACUCCCGGGGAAAGCAGGAAGAAGGAGACGGGAACUAACAUUUGCUAUUGAGCGCCAGGCAUCGUCCUACAGGCUUCGAAGUGAACCUUGGAUGUGCUGCUGAUCUGACCUGCCCAGAUUUGUCAUCAUUGUUAUUGUCUUGGCCUCUUAUGAAGACGUUCACCCAGCAGGACUUCAGAAGCUUUGUUCACUCGAUCUCAUUUAAUCCUCACAAUAGUGCCCUAAGGAAGAUAUUAGUAUCCCCAUUUUACAAAGGAGGAAACGGGAACCUGGGGAGAUUAAGCGAAGGCCUCACAGAUCAUGAAUAGAAGAGGCUGGAAACCUAGUCUGGUUCAAGGGUGUGCUCUUUCUGCUCUGCCAUGCUGUGCUUCAGCCCUUCCCCACUCUCAGCCCCAUGUGCACGCAGAUAGGGAUUUUCACUCUUUGCCCUGUAUGAAAGGAGGGAAGGAAGCCAGGCACCCCGAAUGGAGAGACCAGCUGAAGCCGCGGCAGAAGAACAAAAAUUGUGAAGAUUUAAUGGACAUUUAUCAGUUCCCAAAAUUAAUAUUUUUAUAAUUUCUUACGCCUGUCUUUACUGCAAUCUCUGAACAUAAAUUGUGAAGAUUUCAUGGAUAUUUAUCACUUCCCCAAUCAAUACUCUUAUAAUUUCUUAUGUUUGUCUUUAAUCUCUUAAUCCCGUCAUCUUUGUAAGCUGAGGAUGUAUGUCACCUCAGGACCCUGUGAUGAUUGCAUUAACUGUACAGAUUGUAAAACGUGUGUUUGAACAAUAUGAAACCAGUGCACCCUGAAAAAGGACAGAAUAACAGUGAUUUUCAGGGAACAAAAGAGAUAAUCAUAAGGCCUGACUGCCUGCGGGGUUGGGCAGAACACAGCCAUAUUUUUCUUCUCGCAGAAAGCCUAUAGAUGGAUGUGUGAGUAGGAGAAAUAUUGCUGAAUUCUUUUCCCAGCAAGGAAUAUUAAUAAUUGAUAGCCCUGGGGAAGGAAUGCAUUCCUGGGGGGAGGUCUAUGAACGCCUGCUCUGGGAUUGUCUGUCUUAUGUGGUUGAGAUAAGGACUGAAAUACACCCUGGUCUCCCGCAGUGCCCUCAGGCUUGCUAGGAUUGGGAAAUUCCAGCCUGGUGAAUUCUAGUCAGACCGGUUGUCUGCUCUCAAACUCUCUUUCCUGUUAAGAUGUUUAUCAAGACAAUGCAUGCACAGGAGGACAUGGACCCUCAUCAGUAAUUCUAAUUUUGCCCUUGCCUUGUGAUCUUUUAUUGCCCUUUGAAGCAUGUGAUCCUUGUGACCUACUCCCUGUUCGUACAUCUACUCUCCUUCUAAAAUCCUAAUAAAAACUUGCUGGUUUUGCAGCUCAGGGUCGCCAUCACGGUCCUACCAAUAUGUGAUGGCACCCCCAGAGGCCCAGCUGUAAAACUUCUCUCUUUGUACUCCUUCUCUUUAUUUCUCAGACCGGCC